AUUGAACGCUGGCGGCAGGCCUAACACAUGCAAGUCGAGCGGUAGCACAGAGAGCUUGCUCUCGGGUGACGAGCGGCGGACGGGUGAGUAAUGUCUGGGAAACUGCCUGAUGGAGGGGGAUAACUACUGGAAACGGUAGCUAAUACCGCAUAAUGUCGCAAGACCAAAGUGGGGGACCUUCGGGCCUCAUGCCAUCAGAUGUGCCCAGAUGGGAUUAGCUAGUAGGUGGGGUAAUGGCUCACCUAGGCGACGAUCCCUAGCUGGUCUGAGAGGAUGACCAGCCACACUGGAACGGGGACACGGUCCAGACUCCUACGGGAGGCAGCAGUGGGGAAUAUUGAACAAUGGGCGCAAGCCUGAUGCAGCCAUGCCGCGUGUGUGAAGAAGGCCUUCGGGUUGUAAAGCACUUUCAGCGGGGAGGAAGGCGGUGAGGUUAAUAACCUCAUCGAUUGACGUUACCCGCAGAAGAAGCACCGGCUAACUCCGUGCCAGCCGCCGCCGUAA
This 504-nucleotide ribosomal RNA is filed under the name uncultured bacterium. RNAcentral describes it as "partial 16S ribosomal RNA". It matches the Rfam family "Bacterial small subunit ribosomal RNA", at positions 29 to 523 of the family's 1533-position model. The record is from RNAcentral.